GAGUCCAUGUUAGUGCACACAAAGUAAACUGCUCGCUUUUGUUUUGAGCAUAAAACGCUGAAACCGCAGAAAUAAAACGUGCGAGGGGAACGAUAACGACGACAAGAGUCUCCUGAUCGUUUAUUCUCGCUGUCCUGUGAACAACACCGGUGUGGUGUUAAUUGUUUGCUGUUUUCGCGAUCGUGUCGAGCAUGAGGCUAUCACCAGGUAAACUCGCGACAUUUUUAAACAUUUUGUUGUUCAAUGGCAUCAAGACUGAUGGAGUGUGUUUGAGAUAACCUCACAAGUGUUACGGAUGACAUAUUUGGCGUUUUUUGCUGUUUUGUCGGUAGCAGCUCCUGAAACGCAAGACUGCCACACAUCUGUUUGACCAACGCCAGUUGAUCUAAACGCCAGUAGAUCUGGAACACCGGCUGAGUUGGUUGUGUCCCUGUGACGCGCUUCCAAUAAUUCAUAAUGAGUCGUACUUGUACUUUGCGUAUUUAUUUUAAGAACAAAACAAAAACAAACGUUUGCACUUUCAUUCAAUUCACAAAUAGCACAUAGAUUAACUGGUGUGCCAAAAACUGACGGUGAACAGAAAAGUUUACCCACAAACCACUCACCCAACACACCUGCUGCGGACACCGACAUCAGGAAAAUAGACUGUGACCACACCCACAUGUCAUCAGCUGAGAUGCAGUUGGAGCCACCUGGUGGACAAAUACCGCAACUGUUAAGGUUCCAAGUUGCUGCACAGCGCAUGCCUCAGCAAAGGAAAAUACUCCCGAGCUGGUGGUAGGUGCUUGUGAGCGACACUCCUGUCAAUUGUGACUGAAUGUUGCAGUUGCUUUGCACACUCUUAAUGAUGAUUGUGCUGUUUUCUUUGUACCAGGUAGGCGCUGUUAAGUAUAAGUUUUAAUUGAUGCUGUUGUAUAGAAGAAAAAAAAAAGAUGAACAAUGAUGAUUGUUUUAUAAUAGACAAGUUGUUUUAUAUGUUAUUGUUGUUGUUCGUUAGGAAAAAGGAGAUAAAUAAAUAAUACUGCUACUAUACGAUCACAGGUUUGGUUUCAGCUAGAACUUUUAAAGAAAGACUUUGUUGAUGUUGUGUUGUAUAAAUAUAUCUUAGUCAUUUGUUAAGUGUUAUGUUUGGAAAGAAAAAAAGAAAUGCAAAAGGAAAAUACUCCCGAGCUGGUGGACUGAAUGUUGCAGUUGCUUUGCACACUGUUAAUGAUGAUUGUGCUGUUUUCUUUGUACCAGUUGCCAGAACAAAGAGGGAGCCCAGAGUAAGGGCAAGUCCAGCGUUGCAGUGCCGUCCUUCCUACAUGGACAUUUCACACCACUUGCACGAUAGACUACACAACAGCAACAGCUACAUAUACACCUGUGCCACCAUAACAAAUAAGCAAAACAUAAACAUUGACUUUGGCUCUUACAACAGGAGUCACACAUGUGUCCACUGUACCAUCUGGGAACCUAUGAUGUGUCGGUCGCGAACAAAACAGCUCUUAGAGCCGGAUCUUUGACGUAAACGAUGCGAGCUGGCUCCACUUUUUUCCGCUUCAAUCCGCACGCAAGCCUUGUGCUUACGCUAAGCAGACCGGGGAGGGGUGGUGGUUGCACUCGCAGCAGCACAGGAACAGGGGUCCGUUCUUCGUACCUCGCUAAGUAAGUUAGCCGGAUUUGAUUGUUGACGAUUUUGCGUGAUCUUGGAUCGUUCGGUUCUCCAAAGCUCAUCCGGGACUUGCUGUCAUAGCAACAGAUCC
This is a long non-coding RNA of Oreochromis niloticus (Nile tilapia), 1745 nucleotides long. RefSeq lists it as uncharacterized. Lineage: Eukaryota; Metazoa; Chordata; Actinopteri; Cichliformes; Cichlidae. The transcript is spliced from 3 exons. The record is from RefSeq and is a predicted model, not a curated record.